UGUCAUGAUGAACCCCUGAUAGGGACAGCUUAUACCGAUUGGUAAUUGAUGAGAAGCUGGGCACAGUAUUUUAGUAGAUGCUUCGUGUUUCUGACA
Molecule: small nucleolar RNA, 96 nt
Filed under: Phaeoacremonium minimum UCRPA7
Lineage: Eukaryota; Fungi; Ascomycota; Sordariomycetes; Togniniales; Togniniaceae
Description: A. fumigatus snoRNA Afu_335
Rfam family: A. fumigatus snoRNA Afu_335
Source: Rfam by way of RNAcentral